Molecule: ribosomal RNA, 468 nt
Filed under: uncultured bacterium
Lineage: Bacteria
Description: partial 16S ribosomal RNA
Rfam family: Bacterial small subunit ribosomal RNA
Source: RNAcentral
GAUGAACGCUGGCGGCGUGCUUAACACAUGCAAGUCGAACGGAAAGGCCCAAGCUUGCUUGGGUACUCGAGUGGCGAACGGGUGAGUAACACGUGGGUGAUCUGCCCUGCACUUCGGGAUAAGCCUGGGAAACUGGGUCUAAUACCGGAUAGGACGAUGGUUUGGAUGCCAUUGUGGAAAGUUUUUUCGGUGUGGGAUGAGCUCGCGGCCUAUCAGCUUGUUGGUGGGGUAAUGGCCUACCAAGGCGUCGACGGGUAGCCGGCCUGAGAGGGUGUACGGCCACAUUGGGAAUGAGAUACGGCCCAGACUCCUACGGGAGGCAGCAGUGGGGAAUAUUGCACAAUGGGCGCAAGCCUGAUGCAGCGACGCCGCGUGGGGGAUGACGGCCUUCGGGUUGUAAACUCCUUUCGCUAGGGACGAAGCGUUUUUGUGACGGUACCUGGAGAAGAAGCACCGGCUAACUACGUG